This is a long non-coding RNA of Betta splendens (Siamese fighting fish), 693 nucleotides long. NCBI's taxonomy places the organism in Eukaryota, Metazoa, Chordata, Actinopteri, Anabantiformes, Osphronemidae. The record is from Ensembl.
GGUUUGUACUCGCUUUUAUUAAAUGCUCUGUCAAAUUAAAAAUUAUAUUUAAACUUUAGUUAUUUAGUUCAUUGUUUCAAGCAUUAUUUAUUUCAUUUGGUUCUUCAAUUAAAUAAAUUGAACUAAAUUCAAAUCUCCUUUUGUCUGUUACAGGUCCUGCGACAUUGACAGUCAUCAUAUUAGUUGGUUUAUUAUUAGUAAUAUGUGCUUUGCUUGUGAUCAUUGGCAUCAGGACGAAGGCUGCUCACUGCUCCUCACCUAAGAGGCAGAGCACCGGAGGCACCAGCUCAGCUGCUCUCAGCCACUUUGAGUCAAGCACAGAAGCAAAUGAGCUAAACAUCACAGAAGAGGAGGCAGUUUAUAUGAACAUCAUCCAGAUCAGACAAGCAGACGUUCUCCUUCCUACAAGUGGUGGAGACGGGGCUGUGAUUUACUCCACUGUGAUGCUGUGAGGCGACUCUACAGACCUGCGUCUGACCAGCAGCUCACACGCACUGGGAACGGAUGCAGAAACUGAACCAUGAACGGUGGAAAACAAAGUAGAAAGUGAAUAUUCUCAAUUUAAAGCCAUGAGUACUGUGAUCCUUCAUCUUUAAUUACUUUGAGGUGAGGUAGACUUUCCUUGCUGAAAGUACAACUUCUAAUUGUUUUCUUGUCAAAUCUCUGGACAAAAUAAAAUGUAAACCAUAAACA